Meriones unguiculatus (Mongolian gerbil) is the source of this 6441-nucleotide long non-coding RNA. RefSeq lists it as uncharacterized. The record is from RefSeq and is a predicted model, not a curated record. Lineage: Eukaryota; Metazoa; Chordata; Mammalia; Rodentia; Muridae. The transcript is spliced from 5 exons.
GUCAGGGUGGAGCCCCGCCUAGAAUUCCCCAGUGAGGGACCCAGGCGUGGUCAGGGGUAGCAUGAGCUGUCACAGCUUCCAGCACCAUUACUGCAGAACAACCCCAUCCACACACCACACACGUCGGCCACCACCGGCGCCUUAGAGUUCCGCAACCGUCUGCGUGUGUGCGCGCGGGAGUGCACGGGAGGAGCUUCCCCUCCCUGCAGCAGCUGGCCAGCGGACCGCUGGAAGGGACUGAAGUUAGGAAGUCGUUAGCGAGCGGCGGAGGAGGAAGGUUCAUGCGCAGAGCGUCUCCCCGCAGGUUACUGAUUGACAGCCAGGGAAGUGCAGGAGUCACGAAAGCCGGGUGCGUCCCGGCUGUCCCGGCCUGCAUCUGAGGCAGGGCACGCGAGGACAGCGUGAACCCCUGACUCAGCGCCACGUGCACGGCCGCAGGGGAGCAGCACCCAGAUCCCGAACCCCCAAACCUUCCGGGGAGCCACCGGGAAACAAGCAGUGGUGGGGUUCUCUCCGCAGUGAGUGGUUCGUCCCCUAGGGAAGGUCAGAGCCAGGGAUGACCAAGUGACGGGGCCGGGAGACGGCGCAGCAGGUCAGUGCACUGGUACAAACAUGAGGCCCUGGGUUCAAAUCCCCAGCAGCCACAUCGAGAUAGCACGGCUGUGCACGCCUGAGAGCCCCCCGGUGCGCUGGGGGUUACGGGAGGAUGGCUGGGUUUGUGGCCCUGCCUGCUCCGGGGCAGGAGACUGUGUCCGGGAAAUAGGAGGGACAGCGACAGGGCAGGGCACCAACGUCCCGGCCUGGGCCCUGCGCACACACGCGUGCUCGCAACCAAACCACACACGCUUGCACACACAGGCGCUGCCCACCUGCUGCCCACGCCCUCGGGAGGCGAAGGUGGGAGCAGCUCGUGUUUCAGGUCAGCUCGGACCACAGAGCAACACAAAACUCGACAAAAAUAAAUAAAUAAAGAAGAAAAGGAGAGAAAUCGCCCCUUGGCUGGAUGUGUCGGCCAGGUGCCUCGCAGACCUGGGGCUGAGGGGAGGCUGGGGGGUGUUCGCACCCCUAGGGGAGGGGUGGUGACUCUCCUGUCACGCCAGGCCAGACACAGGGAGUCACCCAGCCCCUCCCCGGCCAUCGCUGGCCAAGAGAGGCCGUGACAGAGCCACCCAUGAAGGCAGUAAGGGCCGGUGAGAGGGCUCAGUGGGUGACGGUGCCUGCCGCUAAGUCUGAUCACCUAAGGACUCUGGCCCUUGGCACUUCCGUUAGGUUCCCUUCCGGAAGUGCCAGCUGAUGUGCGGGGGAGGUAGAGCUGGGCAGAUGGGAACAGAUGAGAGGUAAAUGACCAAGGGUUUGGUUUCUCUAAAAACUCAGGUAUGUGCUACAAUUUGUCUCCAGCUGAUCUUGACCUCCUGAAGGGCGUGGUCUUCACCGGAGGGGCGUGGUCUAGGACUCUGAGGGACAUAACUAUGAGAGCCCAGCUCAGAGGUUGGGAGCGCUGGCUGUUCUUCCAAAGGUCCUGAGUUCAAGUCCCAGCAACCACGGGGUGGCUCACAGCCAUCUACAGUGAGAUCUUCUGGCGUUCAGACACGCAUGCAUACCUAAAAACUGUAUCUAAAACACCGUAUACAGAGUACAUAAAUAAACCUUUAAAACAAAAAUAAAUACGAGGGCCCAGAGAGAAGGGGUGGCAAUUUUGAGAGACCAGAGACAGAUGGUGUGGUGGCUUGGAGGGGACAGGCGGAGAGAGAGAGACGCUUCAUGGAGCAGCUGCUUGGAGGAGGCUCCUUUCUGGGUUUGCUAUUGGUACAGCCCCCAGAAGAACCCAUUGACCCUAAACAGCCGGGAAAAGUAAAGGGGUCUGUGUCUCCCUUCCCCACUAACCCUCUCUCCUACUUAGGGUUAGGGUGUUGGAAGGGAGAGGCCAAACAAAAGAGAGUUUUAAAGAUGAGCGCAACAGCUAAAGGCCAAUGGUUAAAGGGAGCUAUGGUCAGUGGCACAGCAGAGCUAUGGCCCCAGCCGGCUCGCACGGGGCCAGCCAGAAGGUGGCUUUUUGCCUGUGUGCCUGGCUGGGUCUCACAGGAAAAGCUUUUGCAUAUUAAUCGGAUUCCUUGAAGAGAGAGAGAGAGAGAGAGAGAGAGAACAUAAGAUUAAAAUGUCACAUCAAUCCCAGUGCUCAGGAGGCAGAGGCAGGUGGGUCUCUGAGUUCGAGACCAGCCUGGUCUAGAGACUGAAUUCUAGGACAGCCGGGGCUACACGGAGAAACCCUGUCUUGAAAAAGCAAAACCAAAAGCAAAACAGAUCACACAGCUCAAAACAAACCGGCUUGGCGGAGGGCCCAGGUGUAGCUGGUUUUGUUUUCCCUCGAAACUGACAGCUGGAGAAUUGCGAGGAGGAGGAGGCCGGUUGUAGUGGUCAAAGGGCCUGUCCCUCUGCUGGGAAAAGGGCCUGGAGCCCAGGGGGGCUGCCGCUGGAUCUGGCCCUACGGCCCUACCCUAAGGAAACCUCCUCAAGUCAGGGAGCUAUUUCUUUCCCACCCUCAGGCUGACCUUUGCCCUCUGCUGACAGUGCUCCCCCCGCAGCUCUGUGGGAACUCGGAGUUCAGGGUGACCUGGGUAACUGCCCAGCUUGGCUCUCCGAGGUCCUCGCUCACUUGUCCACUCCUGGAGUUGCAGCACUUACAGCCUUCCUGGGGGAAGCCAGUUUCUUGCCCCUGGCUACCCUCAGGCACGGCUCUCUGAUUCUUUGGCAGGGGGGGGGAGGACGGGGGGACGGUGUCUGUUGCUCAGGUGUGAGGAUGAGGACCACCCCUGCUGCCCACGUUCCGUUCCUGCAUCUUCUGGAGAUGCCUCCAGCCUCUUCCCCCCUCUCCUGAGGCCUGUGAGGAGGAGGAGGAGCCAUCAGGCCGCAGCCAUCUUGGCCAUUGAGUUCCCCACACAGCAUGGAGCGGUCUUGAGGACAUCAUCGUCAGUGACACCCGACACAAGAGCCAGGACAGGAAAUUCUCUGCACAGGAAGUAGAUCUCAGGGGCUGGGGCCUGAGAGGGGCAAGGGGACAAGGCGGGGCUGACUUUGGGGUGCCUGGUGUUCUUGAGGUAGACGGUCGUACCGACACAAGAACCUAGCAAGGCUUCACCGCGGUAAAGCUUCCGGAGGGUGUGGUGGCGCGGCCCUGAGCCCAGCACUGGAGAGGCGGAGGCUGGCGCGGCUCGCGGUCUAGGACCGAGGUCUACCGAGCGAGUCCAGGCAGCGACGGCUACACAGGGAGACCCAGGCUAUAAAAGCAAGGCCCACCUCCCCAUGCCUUCCGGCUCAUCUUCCCCAGGGGCCUGGCUGUCCCGUCUCAGCCCUGGGGCUCCGGGGCCAGGGCCCUGGCUGUGCCUCGGAAAGUCCUGGUCUCAAAGCCACCAAACCUAAGUGACGGAAGGAGAGAGCCCACCCCUGCCAGGCGUCUACCCGUGAUGUAACUACACAACCAUUCACUCAGGUAUCCGUCCUUCAGUCCAUCCAUCUGUCCAUCCAUCUGUCCAUCCAUCUGUCCACCCAGCCACCCAUCCACCACCUCUCCAUCUACCUGUCUAUCUGUCCUUCCACCCGUCAGUCCACCUGUCCACCCGUCCAUCCACCCACCCACCCUCACACCCAUCUGUCCAGCCAUCUGUCCAUCCACCUGACCACCCAGCCAUCUGCGCCCCAUUUGUGCGGCGCUGACUGUCACUGUUCCAGAGCAGUGACCCCCAGGCCGCAGAGCUGGGCAAGAUGACAAGGGUCCCUGUGCUUUCAGGAACCUAGCAACCGAGCCAGCCUCCCCGAGAACACACAUAAGCUUCUGAGACCGGCAUCACCCACAGUCCCGUGCUCUUCACUGCGGCGAGGAGGAGACGGGAGCGCCCUUCCCCCCGCCGGCCCACCCUGUGCCCCAUGCCAGGGCAUGCUGGAGCUUGACUGGCAGGCCUCCAUCUCCCCCCUCCGCAGGGUGCACAGGGGGCACCGGGGGCCCCUCUUGGCCCAGGAAGCGGUGGCCUCAGCAUCUCUGAGGAGCAACUGAGGCGGGGACAACUUGACUAAAGACAGCCGUGAUUCUCGCGUGACCCUGAGCUGCUCUGAGGACCUCCCACUGUGUCCUUGCCUGUGUGUCCCGGGUCCGGGGUGAGCUGCUGAACUUUUUUCCUUCUGACUCACGCAGAUGUCCCUCACCCGGGGAAACUGAGGCAGGCGGGCCACCACAGGUUGCAGGCCAGCCAGCACUAGCUCCUUGCCCAGACUUCCAAGUAAGGAAGGAGCAAAGGGCAGAGUUCUGCCCACAGGCUUCAGACUGGAGGGAACACAGAGGAGCCAGAGCAGGAGGGAGACCAGCAUGAAGCCAGAAGGAAACCUCCAGAGCAUGUAUCCAAGACAAAACGCCGCUGCCUGUCAUAUGUAAAAAUCACCACGAAUCAAUAGCAAAAGUCCUCUAGGAAACAGAUACACUAAAGUUCUGAAGAAAUACCACAAAGCCGGCUAUGGCAGACACACACCUGUCAUCCAAGGGCUCAGGAGGUGGAGGCAGGAGGAUUACCCAUCAGAUACAGAGUGGUUUUAGAGGCUAGCCUGGGCUACAGGAGACAUUGUAUCAAACAACAAACAAUAAAAAUAAAAACUAAGGGAAGAGCCCAGUGACUCCCUUCUAGGAUAACUAAUUCUUUCAUUUAUUUAUUUAUUUAUUUAUUUAGUUAGUUAGUUAGUUAGUUUACAGACAGUUGUGAGCUAUCAUCGGGUGCUGGAACCUGAACCCUCGUCCUCAGGAAGAGCAAUCAGUGCUCUUAACCGCAGAGCCAUCUCUCUAGCCCCAUGAUGACUAUUUCUGAGGGCAAGGACCAAGACCGAGGCUGCUGGACUCACAGCUGGCUGCCCUGCAUGUCAACUGCUGAGAAAGAGGUCCCCGAGGCCAGAGUAAACACAUCAGGAAAUGGAGGCUGAACACGUGUCCUCGGCUGCGGAAAACGUCACUGGGCAGACGGGACGCGGCAGCCUCCCCUGGCCACGGACUGUGGCCUGACCUGGACCGACCCCGUCUCUAGCUGGGUCUGGGGCUAUCAAUGCGUGAUCACAUGCCCACAGAAUGACCUGGGGGGGGCGGGCUGGCACGGUGGCACAGACUGUCAAGUGUGCCCCCUGAAGCUCGAGGAGCUGAGUUCCAAUCUACGUUGCAGCUGCUGCUACGUUCUCGGUGCCUGGGUAUGGAGACAACAGGAUUCCCUUGGGCUCUCAGACGAUAUUCGGUGAGAGACCCUGCCUCAGACGCGAGGUGGAGGCGACGGGGGCCAGUGGAGGAGCUCCCCAGUUUGACAACCACACAUUCCCAGAUGUCACCGGGGGACCCAAGGAGCCGAGUCAUCCCCAGCGGAAAGGCAGGUCUGAGACCCCGAGAUACUCAGGGCCCCGCCACAGGCCAAGCGGGACACACAGGGGUCCGUCCAGAAGCUGAGGUAUCCUGGGCUCACGGGUCACAGCCAGAAGGAGGCCGGAGACCCAGAAAGCGAGCAAGGAAUGGCAGGUUUGAGAAAAUCAUUCAUAGGAGCUGAUUCUAAAUAUGUGAACACACAGGUGACAAUCUGUGGGAGAAGCAUGCUCAGGCCAUUCUCCCUGCUCGUUCCACUCUGCCAGGCUGGCCAGAGGAAGCAGAGAGUACUGAGCAGACAUGGGCGCCAGGACAGGGGCACUGUGCAGAGGCCGCCGGAACAGGGGGCUGUGUGGUUGGGGAAAUGCUGCCUCAGAUCCUCACGCGCUGACUGUGCAGGCCCCACAGCGAGCGUCUGCCUCCGAUAAAGGAAAAUUAACUGGGACUCCAAGAAGCCCUGAGAGUGGCUGCAGACACAGGGUUGGGCCUUAUUCCUUAGACUGUGGGGAAUUGUGGGGAUGUGGCCUGGCUGGAGGGACCCCCACAUUCCUCUACGUACGUGCCAAGGUGUGAUGCAUGAGAAAGUUCUAGCGGCUGGGCGGAGUGCAGAGGGAUUGCUGCAAGUUUGGCCCAGAUUGGGGGAUGCAGCAAGCCCCUGCUCUAGAAACCGAAACCCAGGGGGCUGGGCCGGUGGCUCCAUGGAAACCACAAAUCGCAAGCUCGAGGGACUGAGAGCCCCUAACCUGAAUUUUCAGAGCUGGGGCUGGGGUUGGGGAGGAGGUGGGUGAGAGCGCUUGCCGAGGCUGACAGCUCCUAGUGGCCUGGACCCACGCGGUGGGAGGAGAGAACUGACUCCCACGCGGUGUCCUCCCACCUCCACACAUGCACUCUGAAGAAAUAAGAGUGUAAUUUGGGGUGAGAUAUUUAAAAUAGUGUGUGCAUAUGUGUUCGUGUCUCUUCGUGCUCCAAGCCUGGAGGUGAAAGCUGGGAACUGAACUCAAGCGAAACUGGUUCUCAACCGCAGAGUCCGGGCAUUACCAGGAGGUGGCGGGGAUCCCCCU